RNAcentral lists this transfer RNA (73 nucleotides) under Ailuropoda melanoleuca (giant panda). RNAcentral describes it as "tRNA-Val (TAC) (tRNA-Val-TAC-2-1)". It matches the Rfam family "tRNA". From Rfam's summary of the family: Transfer RNA (tRNA) molecules are approximately 80 nucleotides in length. Their secondary structure includes four short double-helical elements and three loops (D, anti-codon, and T loops). The record is from RNAcentral. Lineage: Eukaryota; Metazoa; Chordata; Mammalia; Carnivora; Ursidae.
GGUUCCAUAGUGUAGUGGUUAUCACGUCUGCUUUACACGCAGAAGGUCCUGUGUUCGAUCCCCAGUGGAACCA